RNAcentral lists this ribosomal RNA (301 nucleotides) under uncultured bacterium. RNAcentral's name for it is "partial 16S ribosomal RNA". It matches the Rfam family "Bacterial small subunit ribosomal RNA", at positions 509 to 807 of the family's 1533-position model. The record is from RNAcentral.
CAGUCGCCACGGUAAUACAGAGGCCUCAAGCGUUGUUCGGAAUCACUGGGCGUAAAGGGUGCGUAGGCGGCGCGGAAAGUCAGGGGUGAAAUCCCGGAGCUCAACUCCGGAACUGCCUUUGAUACUCCCGCGCUUGAGAACUGGAGGGGACAUCGGAAUUCACGGUGGAGCAGUGAAAUGCGUGGAUAUCGUGAGGAACACUAGUGGCGAAGGCGGAUGUCUGGACAGUAUCUGACGCUGAGGCACGAAGGCCAGGGGAGCGAACGGGAUUAGAUACCCCCGUAGUCCCUGUCUCUUAUAC